RNAcentral lists this long non-coding RNA (14932 nucleotides) under Gallus gallus (chicken). The record is from RNAcentral. Lineage: Eukaryota; Metazoa; Chordata; Aves; Galliformes; Phasianidae.
AUGAUCUGUGGGCAUUUAGGCCCCAUUCCUGCCAUACUACUGAGAGUGGGAUCUGCUCCCAGGGUUACCUCUUGCACUUUUAAGAGUCUGCUAAAGGCUUUCUCUGGGAAAUGCAUCUAGCAGCCUGGGAUCCUUUCAGCUAAUCCACUCUGGGCAUUAGGUAUUUUUCUUCCUUGGAGAUCUGGAAAUGCACUCAAGUGUAUGUUCCUUGUUUUGUAGCACAAUACUCAGUGCCAAAUUCUGCGUGCUUUACUUGUCUCAAGCUGUUACAUGUUGCUCUCUAAGGGUUUGGACUAAUGUUAGUUUUUAAUUCCCCCUCCUUUUUGGUUCUUUCUUUCUCUCUCUUUUUUUUUUCUUUUCUUUUUUUUUUUUUUCCCCAACCUGGUUUGGAAGAAAAACAGCCACAGCGGUUAGAAGUAUUGAACACUUUUUGUUGUUGUUUAGUUACGCAGUCUCUGCACACACUGUUUUAAUACAAAAUAUUUUCAAAUAACCAGUGAUUAACUCAAGAGCUUAUUUAUACGUUUAGCCACCUGGGCUAGAUAUUGGCAGCAGCAGCUAAUUGAGAGAUUGCAAGGAUAUGACAAAUACUAUGGAGAGGUCAUCUGUCUACUGAAAUCAACUCAAAUUAUAGUAACAGCACAUAAUUAAACUGCAGCUUGCUUUCCUGACAUGAAUCCCUCUCUGGCUUGGUAUUCAUCUACUAUUUGCCUGGCUUUGUACUUUCAACAGUUUGCAACCUUUCUUUUCCUUCCUGAAAUCACCUGCUAUUUUUCCAGGAUUCUAAAAGCCGCCGAACCUGUAAGGACUUUUUUCUGGUUGCUUUUGUUUUUUUGUUACAUGUUUACACCUGUCUGACUGUAACUGAACAACCCAGAGUCAGUCUUUUUUCUCUGGGAUGCUACAAACCAUUGAUGAAACCUUUUCUAGGUAAUUCAAUCCAAGAACAUGGAUAAAUGAAUUACUUAAAGUUCUACUAAAGCAGAGCAACGCCUGAAGCCCUGCCCAGGUGUGCUUUCUCAACCUGAUAAACCUGAGACCUCAUUGUGGCCUUCCAGUACUUGGAGGGAACUUACAAGCAGGAAGGGAACCAACUUUUUACAUGAUCUGAUAGUGAUAGGACAAGGAAGAAUGGCUUAAACUAAAAGAGGGGAGAUUUAGGUUAGAUGUUAGGGAGAAACUUUUCACUCAGAGGGUGGUGAGGAGCUAGCACAGCUGCCCAGAGAAGCUGUGGUGACCCAUCCAUGGAGGUGCUGAAGUCCAGGUUGGAUGGGGCCUUGGGCAGCCCUGCCCAUGGCAGAGGGUUGGGGCUGGGUAGGCUUUAAGGUACCCUCCUACCCAAACCAUUCUAUGGUAAACAGAGGUGGGUUCCCCGUCUUUCAUUGGAGAUGGGGUCAACCAACCCAUGCUGUCUGUGGGAACAGCUCAGCAUGUGUGCACAACCAUCACCAAAGAUCAGCUUAGCAGCUGAAAAUACAUACCUGGGUCUACAUCUUGGUGACCAUUCCUGUGCAUGUCUCCCUAGGUAAUUCUGGGACCGUGGUUUUUCCUUUUUCCCACUCCUCCUCCCUAUACAAGCCUCAUGUGGCCAGGAUCAGUGUCUUGGCCAGAUGUGGAGAUCUGUUUAUGGGCUGAGCCUUCCCUCUUUCCACCCCCUCUCCUCUUCACCAGCACCUCAUCUGUGUUGACAUCCUCAGUCUUUUCUGUCUCCUGUGUCUCAGGCAGCUGACUUUCCUUGGUUUCCUUCCCACUCAGACCACUGGCUACCUUCCUUGCCUCCCCUGCAGUGCAGUGUUGCUGUGUUUCUUCUGAUGUCUUUCUCCCUGCCUCGGAGAGUGGAUGUUCUCUGAGGGACCACGUGGGAUGUCCUGAUCCAGACUGGACCCUGCCUUAGUGCCUUGCGUCCAUGGUACUGCCAACUUGGGAAAAUCCAUACAUCACUCUGUCUCCUUCCUUUGUUCAAGGGUUUUUCUUUAACAGCCAUCCUGACAAAAAAAGCAACAACUUUCUCUGUGCUGUAAACUUACUGAACUAGCAAUAACUCCUUUAUAGCUUUGCUGCCCUUGCUGUUAACAGAGAAGUGUUAAGUUUCUGUAUUUUCUCACUUGGCUGCUGGCCAUCCUUUCAAUUUCUGGUGCAAUUUUUAUCUUGACAUUGUAAAAAGAGACCAGGUAUGUUGUGAGCUUUGGGAUAAGCUUAAAUGUUACAAUCACUGUACAAGGAUACUCCAGCUUUGUUAAUGGACUUACUAUUUCUUUCCAUUGCAGCUGUCUCCCUUUAGUACCUGCCAGUUGCUGAUCAGCUCUACGCAACUAUCCAGCUCCGGCAGGAAUUUGUUAGGUAUUUCCUGCAAAGGACUGAGAAAAAGCAGGAGCAGGGGUGACAAGAGAGACAGACGGGAUGAAAGGGACAGGCAGGAUGAAAGGGAAAGGCAAGAGAACCUGAAUCUGUGGGUGGCCUGGAAGCUGCCUCUGAAGGCAUAAGAGCCAAGCGUGGGAGAGAAAAUAUUUUGUUUGAUUGUUUGUCUGUGUUGCCUGCUGACAUUUUGGACAUGCCUGUGGAUAUCUUCUCAUGGUGGCAGUAUGGUAUGUGGGACUUUGUGCUGCAGAAUACGGGGAGGCAACUAACCUUUAAAAUUAAAAAGAUCAGCCAGUGAAGGAAAAACAACAGCACUGUGAUGUCUCCUAACAUUGACAUAGAACUUUGUUGACCAACCCAGCCUUUGACCAACCCAGUCUGAGGCCAUCAGGUGGUCCUGGUGCAUUCUUCUGUCAUUAAGAGUAUGGCUGGUAGCACAGGUCUGGAGGGGCCAUUGGGAAUGGCCAGAACAGCCCUGUUUUAUGUGAGAAGAGCCCAGCCAGUUUAUGAACCUUUCAGCAAUGAGAGAAAGCCUCUUCACAACCUCAGGAGAAGGACAGACAUUUUCAGAAUCCUGGAGGUAACUCUGGGUAUGUAUUAUCAACUGGCUGGAGGUGUUUCCAUGGAAAUAAUGAUAUGUCCAGCUAGUCUUCUAAUGUUAUGUCCAGCCUCUGUUCCCCAAGUUUAUGCACAGGAUCCCAAGAGAAGUGGUCAGAGCACCAAGCCUGCUGAAAUUCAAGAAGCAUUUGGAAAAUACUCUAAGAAAUGUUGUUUAAGUAUUAGGUAGUCCUGUGGAAAGCCAUGAUUUGGACUUGAUGAUCCUUGUGGGUCCCUUCCAACUUUUUAUUGGAUAUUUUAUGAUUCAAUGAUUUUAUGUUCAGGGAUUCAAGGAGGGAUAGGGCUUAAAGGGAAGAGGGUCAUACUGGUUCAGCAAAAGGGGUAACUCUUUCUUCUGUGUCCAAAUAAGUUUGAAGCUCCAGGGACUUCAUUUUUACCUCAAAAGAAGUGACAUUGUUCAGCUACUCUGAUGCAGAGCUUUAAUAAGACUGUAGGUGGGACUGGGAAGUUCUGAUAAGCCAUCUUGUCGAAUCAGCAGAGAAAAGGAUCUGUCAGUGUACUGCAUACAGCAUUGUCCAUCCCCCCUUCUUUUGCCCAUCACACAGGGAGCCUGCAGCAAACAAGUACAAAGCCAGUUCUGAUAGGUGCCCUGUAUCUCACUGGGAUGAGUCCAAGCCCCUCAGUGCUGCUCUGGAGGGGCUGCUGCAAGAUUUCAGCUGCUCCCACUAAAAGAGGUUGGGUGAAUUAGUGCUAGAUUUUCAUUAGCCAGCCAGCUUGUGAAUCAUUUGUAGCUUUUUGUUUCUUUUGUGUAUUAGCUGAUGGAUUAGCUGAUUUGGCAGAUAAACAGGAAAUUAAUGAGUAGUGACACUCCCUUACGCAAAGAAUUGGUCCAUCUGUCCCACUGAACAUAGCACAGAGGAUGACAAACAUUAUAAUAGCUCACCUAAUGCUGUUCUUUCUUAGAUGGCAGAGGGGCAUUUCCUCUUAUCCAGUGAUACAAAAUACCUCUCAGGAGAUAAAUAUUUAUUCUUAUGAGCAGGGAUCACUAUUAAAAAAAAAAAAAAAAAAAAGGUAUUAUUUGCAUUAAGAUAAACUUUUUAUUCUUUUGCUUAAAUUUUGUGUUCUCACAUACUUAUUUUAGGCUUGCAUUGAUUAGAGAAAUAUUGACAAUUUUAGUGGCAUUAAAUAAGCCCCGUUGCCACCAACUACACGUGAAUUUGGGUAUCUCAUGAUUUUAAAAUUUCAAGGAAUAUGUACAUAAACAAAUGCAUGCAGUGGAAAACUGAAAAAGAAGUAUGUGAAAACUGGCUUCAUUUCUGUUUCAAAUAAGUGUGUGAGGUGGAAGUGUAGGCCCCUCUAAUUUAUUGGUAGCUGAAACUCUCAUGCAAGCCGUUGGGUAUGUGACUUUCAGGAUCUCCUCUAUUCCAAGAUUACAUGCACGGGACUGUUGCAAUGCAGUUAAAGGUGAUAAGUUCAAGUGUCGCUCUGACUAAUUCUUUAUCCAGAAAGGUAAAGAGACUUAGGAUGGAAACAUUUUAAAACAUAAGUCACUCAGAAACAGUGAUGACUUUCUAUUCACGCCAUACAGGAUCUACUUUCUCCUAGAGAACAGAAACAUGGAAACCAUGGACAUAUGUCUAUAAGAGGUCAUUUUUUGCUGUUUCUGAUGUCUAUAUUUUUUUCAAUACUAGGUGUUUCCAUAGUACUGGAAUGUUUCUAGUGUUUCUGGAAUAUUUGAAACCAGUAAAUUUCCAGUAUACAGAAACAGUUGUUAUAUUACUGAAUUUCGCUGAGUUGGGCACCCAGCUUUAACAACAAGAAAAAUCUUGGUUCCACUGGGUAGUCCAAGUUAAUUUAAUGAAAGUCAUGCAGUGAAUGUAUAGCCACAGAAUCAUUAAGGCUGGAAAAGACAUCUAAGAUCAUCUAGUCCAACUGUCCACCUACCACCCAUGUUGCCCACUAAACCAUGUUCCUUAGUAACACAUCUACACGUUCCUUGAACACCUCCAGGGACAGUAACUCCACCAUCACCCUGGGCAGACCAUUCCACUGCCUGAUCACUCUUUUAGAGAAGUUUUUCCUGUUAUAAGGCAAGCAAAAAUGAUACUAAUACUCAUCCUGUCCAUCAGGAUGGGAGGAGAGAAAUCAGUUCCAUGAAUCAGGCCCUCAACUGAAGAAGCUUGCCUUGGGAUAUCUCAUAAGGAGCCAAGGUUGUGGAGCCAGAUAUAAUAAAAUCCAAUGUCAUUUUUCUUCCUGCUGCAGUGAUUAGAACUGGUCUGAAAGUUUCCCUCCACAGUUGCUUUCAGGGUUGGCUGGCCUAUGGACAAGACCUCUGUGAUCCAAAGCCUGAUGAUUGAGUUACUGGCUUGGCAUACAAGAAAUCUGGUUUCAAAUCCCUGCUUUGCCUGAAGCAGAGCUGACUUUUUUUUUUUUUGUUCCAAACCUUUACUGUGCUUCAAUCUGAGUGACUUGAAUUUAGGACUGCACGUGCCAAACGCAAUACCACAACCAUCAGGGUAUGGAAUAUUUGUCUUGAGAUGGAAACAUUUCUAUUUAAACCUUAGCUUUGCUGACAAAGAAACAUAUGAAAUUAUAUUUGUUUGAUGAAGGUCAGUUCUUAGAUGAAAUGAAUUUCUUGAGAACAGAACCAUUCAGCAGCUGGUACUCUGGUCAUGUCCUUUACCCUGUUUAAAGUAUACACAGAUUGGAAGAGCUAUUGGCACCUGAGAUCACCCAUGGCCCAGGGUAAUUUUUAAGAGGAGAAGCACCAAACAACUGCAAGUCAAGUAAUCACCUGUCCCUAGGUCAUUAACACAGCUUUGUCUUUGUCCAGAGGACCAGGCCACUUUACUGUUUAUAGCCAUGCACACUGGCCAACCUGCUACGGGGUAGCAGAAGUAGCAGAUAGAUGAAUAUGAAAACAAGCUAUUUUGUUAUGAAAGUCAUUAGUACAAGUUGUCUGUCUUAAGACUAAAUCAUCUCUGGACAAAUCCUGAAGACCUGUCUUGGUUUGUUUUGGUUUAGCCUUUAGUGAAGAACACCUGCUGUUGAAGCCAAGAUCAUUUUCUUCUCUCUGUGGAAAACUGCAAUGAUGCCUGGUUUAGCCCAAUAAAAUAAUGAUGAUCCUCCACAAGCUCUGUUGAAAUGAUGAUCUCAAUCUAUUAAAACAAUGUUAAACAGUCUUUAUUACCUGUGUGUGAACUGGAUGACAAGUGGAUACUUUUGCAAGCUAAGGCAAAGAAAGCAAAGAGCUACAUCUGUGGCCAUGUUGUGUGCUGAUGACUUUUCAUUCAUUUUUGCCAAUGGUCGAUCAGUUGACUUCAGCUGUCUCUUCACAAUAUUGGAAAGCCAAGGAAGAAAACAUGAGGAGGUGUAUAUGUAUUCAUUUAAAAAUACAGUGGUGGCUCAGCACAUCCAUGUACAGAUGGGUUUGAGAGAAAAAUGUAAUGAUUCAAAGGGCCAAUUUUAACUUUGCUAAAAGCAGCUAAAUGAUGCCCCUGUCCCACAUUAAACUAUGCUGUGAUCAAAGAGGGCAGAUGCCAAGUACUUGUGGUUUUACAGUUUUCAAAUAAAUAUUGCUCAACCUCAUAAAAAAGAACUUGAGAACAGUGAGUGUACUUGUCCUAUUUAUUUUUUUCCUGAGUAUUUAUUUCUUUAUUUUCAGUAUACUUUACAGGUAUAGGGGAUAUUGCUGCUGUUCCUUCUCAGGAUUUCUACACAGAAUUCAGCUGUGAAUGCCACUUGACCACAAACCCAGUUAAUUUAGAUUGGCACGCUCGAUCGCAGGAUGUUUUAUGGGCUGGCAGAUAGAGAGCCCUGGCAGAUGUGCUAUGGAGCUGCAAAGUUCCAUACCCAACUGAAACUUUUAAUUCAACACUGUCAUUUUUAAAUAACAGUGCAACUGCAAAACAAAUUGGCAGGUACUUACGAACUGAAUGCUGCCUGAGGCCCUGUCUUUUCAUUUUGCUGACCAGUGUGUCUGGUCUCCAAUUUAGAAAAGUGCCCAGUAGUUAAAAAGCACUAGUGAAACCUUGUAAUGCAGGGCUAACUGCAUUAUUCACAAAGCAGGAGAUGCCUGCUCUGACUUGUUGAUCCUUGCAAAUUUCUUAGCUUCAGGAAGAUAGAGGGCAACGUUUAAAAAUAAAAGCACUCUGAAGUAUUUAUUUAUUGUAGUAACCAGUAGAGCAUGAAUCUUCUUUGCAAAGUUUAAGAUUUCUGCCCUAGGUCCUUUAUGAAUCUUGAAGGAAUUUUGGAGUAUUAAACUAGAAGGGCCCUGUUAGGUAACUUAAUCCCAGUGCUCUGCUAUCUUGGACAACUAGCUCCCAUGAUCUAUUUCCUGGACACUAAGUUGCAUCAGAUACAUGUGGUCCAUCUCCUAUAAAUCAGCAUAGUUCUGCUGAAUCUGAUUUGUGAAGCUCCAGCUUUUGUCAUGUGGUUUUGUAAAAUACCUUGCUUCUUUACCUGUGUUUUUGCAUUGCUGCCUCCCUAAGCAGUGUAACCAGAAGUUGAAUGGGAUUUUUAGAACAAGUAUAGGCAUUCAAGUAAUCUCACAAAAUCCUGCAUCACCACUGCAUUAAGCCCAUUAACUGUCAACCUGCUAGCUGUCAGUCUAUGAACUAAUCAGCUUAUACUCCCAUAAAGCAUAGAAGUUGUAUGUAAUGACAUGACCCAACAGCCAUAAAUCAUGCUCAGGAUUGGUUCACUUGUGCUGUGAUGACCCAGUGGAGAAUACAGCUUUCAUAUGUGGGUAUCUUCAUUUUUUUGUUUUGUAGGAAAGACAGGACCCAGAAAGCACCGACAGUAGCAUCUCCAAAGGUCCUUCAUCCUGCCAUAAAUCAGGAUAUGUCUACUAGAAAAGAGAGGCAAUGUCCAGACUUUAACCUUUAGCAACGUUCACACAACUUGUGACCACGUGUCAUAUAAUGUGUGCUUGAACCUUACCCUGUUGAGUCUUCAUUCUCCAUUCACGGGAUCUACCAUGCAAUGGGCUGCAGAACAGAGUGCCUUACAGACUCUGGGUCAGAGAUGUCUUCCAAACCUAGUAUUGAGAAAAAGGACCACAAUUCUACCUCAGGAAAGAAGAUGUAACUUGGAGGCUGAUCUGCAUUUUCUCUCUCCAAAGAUUUUUGGAGAAGAUACAAAGGGUGAAUAUCUGGAACUCUGUCACCUGGACACUUUCUUUACUUCCCAGGAAUCUUUCUUGCCAGUGAAAUAUUAGAAGCUAGCAAAGUCAUUCCAGUGACCCCACAAUGAGUGGGUGGAAGAGGUAUGUGAAAAUUAAAAGUAUUAUUUGGUAGCUUCUCUGGAUGCUUCUUACUUUCCUGUGGGGAGGAAGGACCUGACAUAGUCUGAUCCUAUCUAUUUUUUUUCCCCCUUAAUUGGUUUCAAGAAGAUUUAUCAAUCAUUUCUGUCCAAGCAAUGUGCUAACACAUAUAAUACCACAUGCAUUCAUUACAUUCCCCAAAAAACACAAGGUGAAACUUUGAGCUUUGCAACUGUGGAGUUCUCUUGCUCUGCCUAAUCAUGCAAUGAAGCAAUUGCUUCCCUGUGCUUUGAAAAUAGCUGUCAAAAUGUUCUUGGAAAUGCUCACCUAAUCAGUUCAAAUUACCUCAUACUUUAAAUGAUUGCUUCUCCUGCUUUGUUGAUGCUCUAAAUGUGACAUCAAAUGCUGUUCCGAAAAGGAGUGAGCAUUUCUCAGAAGGUUAAUCACUUUGCUGACUUGGGGCUCUAGGGAUAAUGAAAAGACAGUGCCUAUCUUGUAAACACAGAUCAGUUUACUCCAGUGUAAUCUCUUCUAUGAACUGGAGAGGUGAUGGCCACUGAUGAAGAAAGUGAGAUACAUAAGAAAAGUAACGUAUACUCAGAUCUUAGCAAAGUGCUGUUGUAGCUGAGGUUGAUAUGCUUAACUGUACAUUGGGUCAGUGGUUCCCUUCUGGCCUGGUGUUGCAGAAGCUACUAAGGAAGUAGGUAGACAAAAGUAUUACCCUUAUGCUAUCUUAAUGCUGAAAAAAAUGGUCUGCCCUGUGAUCCUGAUCUCUUCCAUUCUUAAAAUCCAAGGCACAGAUCUUCUCAAAUAGAUGACUCAUCUGUUGCCAGGAAGGUGAAAGUCCAGCUAUUAAUGAGUUGCUUUAUUGUAUACAGCCUUGAAAGUCUGGGCUCUGCAAUCAGUUCAGCUGAACGCUUUGGACCUCUUCCCAUCACUUGAUUCUAAUCAUGAGUCUGCACCUGGUCCAGCUUUCUAUUUGGGACAAUAUGUUAAAAAUUCAUUGUUGCACUUCUUUUUAUUUUUUUUUUCCUUUUAAUUGACUUUUUAUUCCCCUCUGAGUUAAAUGAAUGCUUUAUAGGAUGAAGACCAAACAAUGUCAAUGGAAUGAAUCGUGGAGGAGAGCCAGAAGCACCGCUCAUAUUUAGGAGAAAGUAGGAGUAUCCAGCUGUAUCCUGCUCACCCACUUUGAUGUCUUUGGCUGAAAGAGUGACGUGAUUCAGACCACCUACUCUCCAGGCCUUGGCUCCCUUGGUGGUCAAAGGGGAGAAGAAAUCAUGAACCCCGCACAGCACACCUGUACCAUGCCUCCUGCAUCCUCUUUCGCCGACUGUGCAGGGAUCAGGUGUUUGGCAGCUCUGGAGACUGUGUGGUUCCACGUGUUUGUCCCUUACUUGAUCUUUAGCACUGUAAUCUGGAACUGUGUCCAACUGAGGCACCAGGGGACACAGUUUGAGUGCACCUUGCUGUAAGCAUGCUGUGUUUCUGUAAACAUUUCUGAAUAGGAAUAGAUGAUGUGUUUGCUUCAUCUACAAGCCUUAGGCAGCAUCAGGACAUACUCCACUUGGCCUAGAAGGACCAGGUCUGGAGCUGGAUAUGUCUGAGAUAAAUCCAGGCAGCACUUCAACUUUCUUAGAUUAUCUUAGGCUUUUCAUGUUGCUUUGUUUUAAACUCUACUUGUUUUAUUUUCUUUUUCAAAUGAGAAAGCUAUUAGGAGAUACGAGGAGGCUCAGAAAGCACAGCACUUUAGAGCUGAUGGUCACUUCACUAGUCAGACUUUGGACAUCAGAGUGGACUUCAAUUUCUGUCUUAAGCAUCUCCGUGUACUUGCAAGCAGAGUGAUGGAAGUUUUAUGGACCCCUCACUACAAGAAAGACAUUGAGGCCCUGGAACACGUCCAGAGAAGGGCAAUGAAUCUCUGAGGGGUCUGGAGCACAAGUCUGGUGGGAAGUGGCUGAAGGAACUGGGAUUGUUUAGUCUGGAGAAGAGGACGCUCAGGGGAGAACUCAUCGAUUUCUACAACCACCUGAGGGGAGGUCAUGGCAAGGUGAUGGUCAGCCUCUUCUCAAAGGUAACAGCGAUAGGAUGAGAGGAAAUGGCCUCAAAUUGUGCCAGGGGAGGUUCAAGUUGGAUAUUUGGAAAAAUUUCUCAGCAAGAGUGGUGUGGCAGUGGCACAGGCUGCCCAGGGACAUGGUGGAGUCACUGCCCCUGGGGGUGUUCAAGAAAAGGGUAGGUGUAGUACUUAGGAACGUGGUCAGUGAGAAUGGUGGGGAUGAGCUGACGGUUGGACUAGGUGAUCUCAGAGGUCUUUUCCAAACCUUAAUGAUUCUAUGGUUCUGUUCUAUGAUUCUAUUUUAAGUUGCUAUAACAACUACAGAUACCAAGAAAACCUAUAGUCAAAGGCAACUUAUCUGCUAGGGCCUGUCCAGCUGCUGGUUAUCAUCCCUGUUGCAUCUGGCUUUUCACAGUACAUCUGUUUAGCAUAAAUAACCUUUUUUUAUUGGAGUCCUAUGGUACAUCCAAACAAUGAACAGAAGAAAAAAGAGAAACUCUAAAUAAAUUUUACAGUGUCAGUAAGAGCAUUCACAUUAAGGGAAACUAUUUUGAGUGAAUGCCAGUCCUUAAUAAAUUGCUAUUAUUCUGGUGUUUGUACAAAGACCACAGGGGAAAAAAAAAGAAAAAAGAAAAAAAGAAGAAAAAAACCCACAGAAAUUGUUGAAAAAUGGAAACACUGAAUGUCAAUGCUCAAUCACUCCUUUUAAUCAUAAUACUUCUAGGCCGUUCUUCUAACAGAUCAAGUGCCAAGAUUUUUUUUUUUCUUUUGGUGUCUAUCUGAAAAGCCAGUGGCAUAAAACAAGACCAUGACUCACCUGGCCAAGCUCCCUUUCCUGAAUGCUCCCUAGAAGGCUGUCUUUCAACCCACAUUACCAACCCAUGGUCUGAGCAGGCUUUCUGGAACACUGGGGCUCUCCUGCACAGCUCAGAGCUCUACAGAAAUGGCUGUCGUGAUUCAGAACCUGCAAGCUUAGGCUCCAGAACAGGUGAGCCCUCCUGCAGUUGCCCAGCUGAUGUAUCACACUAAGAGGCAGCAAAAUUUCUUAAAGACAGCAGGUUUUGCUAAGUAUGCCCAUGCUUUUCAGUCACAGUUACUGACUCAAUUUUCUUGGUUUAAUUUCUUAGAAAUGGAUCUUUUCUGCCCAUUAGCCCGUGAGGAGCUCUGCUGGUUUGUUUUUGUAGUGAUCAGGCUAUUUUAUGUUUGCCUCUUUUACAGCUCCUGUGGGUGUCACUUGCUUAAUUCUUGCCUGUGGAUAUUCUGGGAAGCUGCUGUGUUUCCUUGGGAUUUCCACACCUGGAGGAGCCCUUUGCUGAUAAAAGCCAUUGGCACCAUAAGAGUAGGAUAAGCAAUGUGUGGCUGUGGAAACACAGAUGCUUCACCCGGUGUUGGAAAAUCAGGUGCUAGGCUGACUGUGACAGAUGCUUGGUGAGGGUCAUUUCCCAGCAGGCAGGAGCAGGGGAAUACUGGAAACAAUGCCAGAGGAUCACAGUAUCACAGUAUCACAGAGUUGUAGGGGUUGGAUGGGACCGCUGGAGAACAUCGAGUCCAACCCCCUGCUAAAGCAGGUUCCUUACAGCAGGCCACACAGGAAAGCAUCCAGGCGAGUCUUGAAUAUCUCCAGAGAAGGAGGCUCCACAACGUCUCUGGGCAGCCUGUUCCAGCACUCCAUCACCCUCAAAGUAAAGAUGUCUUCCUCAUGUUUGGAUGGAACUUCCUGUGUAAGAUGUGGCUCUCAAGUUGCAGUGGUGCUGCCACUCAUCCUUCGACAGUUUACAAAGCUUGCAAACACCUUAACUGCAACAGGUAGUGCUUUCUUGCUGGGGAGGAUUUGCUGAGCAAAGUGGCUGUGCUUCUCUUUGGUAGCGUGCAUGGCACUGAGCUCUGGGGAUAUCAGGCAUCUGCAGACCAGAGGAAGCUGGGCGUUGUUGCAGUGACACAGGCACUGGUAGGCCAGGACACUUUGAGAGGGACCAUGCAUUUGGAGCUGCACCCAGAAAGUCUGCAGUCCUACAGGAGAGGCAGCUUUGCCAGUGGAGGAGGCUGGCAGGAGAAAGGAUUUAACCCCCAAGAGCAUUUGGGAGCUGGUGCUCCUGGCCAUGGUUGGCUUUCCCUACCACAAGCUCACCCAGCCAAGGGAGCGGGCCCUGAGCCUGAACCAACUCUUUUGCCUUUCGGUACACCCAGAAGUGCUUUUAUAAUGAGAUUGGGCCAGAGCCCAGUGAGCCUGGGGGAAUUAGAAGCAUUGUAUGUGCUCACAUGCUUGCUUCAUGGGGCAAUUUUAAUGAGUAAUUGAUUGCUAAUUAUAUGUGCUGCUUCGUGGUGAAACAUCGUGGUACUUUGAUAUGGACCAGGAACCGAAAGUUGCAGUUGGGUUUAUUUUUGAAAAACAUUUGGCCUGCUGAUCUGUAUGGGAUAUUUUGUGCUUGAUUAAUUUAAUGUAUUGUCUUGGGUGAGUGUUGAUUUACUUGCUGAAUUCAAGAUCAAUUUUAAUGAAGCUCUUAGUGCGUGCUGGUUUGGGGACAUAGGGUGCCAUAUUAUUGGUUUGUUUAGAUUGCUUACUGUUUUGUUAGAUUUCAAUAAGAAAAUUUCUGGCAUAGUGUCAGCUUCCCACUUCCCUACAAUUGAGCAGACAACAACAGAGCUUAAACAGACAACAAACUUUAUUAAACUCACAUGUACAUACAUAACAAGUACAAACUUUGGAGCAAGCAAGUCUGACCUAUUUGCCAACAGCAACAAGAAAUAUGUUCGUUUUUAACUCCCAAACCAGGUGCAGUCUGAGAAACAGCAACUGCAGCUGAAGAGUCAGACUGGAAAUUAAUUUGGAAAAUAAAGUGCAGACAUCAUGGAGGAUAUUAAUGCCUUCUCUGUUCUUCACCACUGCUGUGUUCCUCGACCCUUUGUCUUAACGUGCAUCUGGGGCAGGUCAUAGAAGUCUUCUUGGGAAAAAGAUGGGACAGGGUUCAGAGUACUGAGAAAUGUCUUGUGGAGCUCUGUAUAAUGAAAGCAUGGAGCUGGGAUGCUGCUGGACUUCCAGCGUCCUUGGUGUGCAACUAGCCGUGGCUCUUCAAGGUGCUGAGGCCUUCCUGGGUACUACAAAUCCACUGUGGAAAUGUUCAAAUCCAAAAUGCUUGCAAUGGCAUUGCAACCAUGACUACCUGUAUUGUUAUAGCAGAAGCUCUGGCGUUUGUUUUUAUCUCUUCAGCAGGAUAUGACUGUGCCCCCUGGGUCCACUGUUGCAUGUUUGGAAGAGUAUCCUGCUUCAACAAAGCAGAAGUUAACUAGGACUUUGGAGUUGGUAUUGGUUAUGCUGGGAGCAGACCAAGGGGAAUAUUUGCUUUCCAAUUCCAGAGGAAACUAAAAGCGGAUCCAACUUGAAGGGAGUGUGGUGUGGGAGGACACGCGGAGACGUGGGAACAAGGAGACUCAGGAAUGCUGUUGGAGAACUUUUCCACUCUUAAAAUGUACGACCAUGGUUAGACUUGGUUAGCAGUAGAGGCAAAUCAUGACAUUCCCACGACUGGAAAGUACCUGUGAGCUACACUCACCUUGGAUAAUGUCACUUGGCCCCUCCAGGCUAGACAAGUGGGUGGUGCUGGCAAGUACGUGAACAAUGUUUUUUCUUAUUCUGCAGGGAAGACACAUACUAACUUGUCAUGCUGUCUUUAAUUUGAUCUUGGAUGAUACACAAGUCCAACUGUUUAAUGUCCCGUGCAAAAUAAAUAAAUAAAAAGCAAUUAUUAUGUUAUUUGAGAGGAAAAAGCCAUUUGCUUGUUUGUGUUAGCAAAACAUGAAUUGGCACUUAUGGGGUCCAAAGGACCACAGAAUUUUCAACAGUAUUGGCUCCCACAAUGCUGAUGUUUUUAUUUUUUGGAGAGAGAUUUAGUAGCAGGAUGAGACAAAAGGAUGCACAGCAGGCCUGUAACAUCCUUCCUCUCCUGAGUAGUCUCUGUUCGGGCAAUGGCUAAAUGCCUUUAGAAGAGGACCACACUGAAGUUAUGGUGGUAGGUGAACAGCAGCACUUGCCAAGCAAGGCACCCCAUUCAAUCUGUUUUCAAUGAUUUAAAACUAAACUAGAAAAUGUGAAUGCAGGCAGGGACUUGGCAUUUAAAUUAUCCACUUGAGAUGACUGAGCUUUUUUUUUUUUUUAAUUUUUUUUUUUCUAAAACAAUUUAAAAAAUGGUAAUCCUGAGGGAUGCAAAAAGAGUUAGGGCAUAGAGAUGACAUGAAGAGAGUCCUUUCAUAUGCUGCUUGACAUUUCAGUAAUUCUUCAAGCAGCAUUUUAAAUUUCUUUUUAAAUGUAGAGCCUUCUUAGCCAAGUUUGCAGCAUGAGAAGACUGGAGUUUAAUCUUUUCAAUGUACACUGACUUGGUGUAGAGAUAGCUCUUUCUUGUAUGUUCACACUGCUGCUAGUAUACAUGUAUCCUCACAUGGCAUGAAGCCAGGAAAUACUAGGGUUAGAAAUGUCACAGAUAAUGCAGUAACUGAAACAUUUGACUAAGUUAUGAACUCACGUGAUCUUGAAUGGGAAGGAUAUAAGAGGUCUGCUCCAAAAGUAGCGCCUCCUAUUUUAUCAUAUUGGCCCAUGAUGUCAGAGGCAGAUGUUUGUGAUAUGUCACUAGAGAUUUAACCUUCCCACUCAUAUUCCAUUACGUUUUGUUGCCAUGCAACAAAUGGCAGCAGAAGGGCAAUCUGAC